AUUGAACGCUGGCGGCAGGCCUAACACAUGCAAGUCGAACGGUAGCACAGAGGAGCUUGCCCCUUGGGUGACGAGUGGCGGACGGGUGAGUAAUGUCUGGGAAACUGCCCGAUGGAGGGGGAUAACUACUGGAAACGGUAGCUAAUACCGCAUAACGUCGCAAGACCAAAGAGGGGGACCUUCGGGCCUCUUGCCAUCGGAUGUGCCCAGAUGGGAUUAGCUAGUAGGUGGGGUAACGGCCCACCUAGGCGACGAUCCCUAGCUGGUAUGAGAGGAGGACCAGCCACACGGGAACUGAGACACGGUCCAUACUCCUACGGGAGGCAGCAGUGGGUAAUAUUGCACAAUGGGCGCAAGCCUGAUGCAGCCAUGCCGCGUGUAUGAAGAAGGCCUUCGGGUUGUAAAGUACUUUCAGCGAGGAGGAAGGCGUUGUGGUUAAUAACCGCAACGAUUGACGUUACUCGCAGAAGAAGCACCGGCUAACUCCGUGCCAGCCGCCGCCGUAA
This 506-nucleotide ribosomal RNA is filed under the name uncultured bacterium. Its description in RNAcentral is "partial 16S ribosomal RNA". It matches the Rfam family "Bacterial small subunit ribosomal RNA", at positions 30 to 523 of the family's 1533-position model. The record is from RNAcentral.